UGGAAACUGUNUGACUUGAGUGCAGAAGGGGAGAGUGGANUUCCAUGUGUAGCGGUGAAAUGCGUAGAUAUAUGGAGGAACACCAGUGGCGAAAGCGGCUNUCUGGUCUGUCACUGACGCUGAGGCUCGAAAGCGUGGGUAGCGAACAGGAUUAGAUACCCUGGUAGUNCACGCCGUAAACGAUGAGUGCUAGGUGUUAGGCCCUUUCCGGGGCUUAGUGCCGGAGCUAACGCAAUAAGCACUCCGCCUGGGGAGUACGACCGCAAGGUUGAAACUCAAAGGAAUUGACGGGGGCCCGCACAAGCGGUGGAGCAUGUGGUUUAAUUCGAAGCAACGCGAAGAACCUUACCAGGUCUUGACAUCCCGAUGCUAUUCUUAGAGAUAGGAAGUUACUUCGGUACAUCGGAGACAGGUGGUGCAUGGUUGUCGUCAGCUCGUGUCGUGAGAUGUUGGGUUAAGUCCCGCAACGAGCGCAACCCUUAUUGUUAGUUGCCAUCAUUAAGUUGGGCACUCUAGCGAGACUGCCGGUAAUAAACCGGAGGAAGGUGGGGAUGACGUCAAAUCAUCAUGCCCCUUAUGACCUGGGCUACACACGUGCUGCAAUGGUCGGUACAACGAGUUGCGAGCCGGUGACGGCAAGCUAAUCUCUGAAAGCCGAUCUCAGUUCGGAUUGGAGGCUGCAACUCGCCUCCAUGAAGUCGGAAUCGCUAGUAAUCGCGGAUCAGCACGCCGCGGUGAAUACGUUCCCGGGCCUUGUACACACCGCCCGUCACACCACGAGAGUUUGUAACACCCGAAGUCGGUGAGGUANCCUUUUAGGG
RNAcentral lists this ribosomal RNA (821 nucleotides) under uncultured bacterium. RNAcentral describes it as "bacterial SSU rRNA". It matches the Rfam family "Bacterial small subunit ribosomal RNA", at positions 627 to 1447 of the family's 1533-position model. The record is from RNAcentral.